Molecule: ribosomal RNA, 253 nt
Filed under: uncultured bacterium
Lineage: Bacteria
Description: partial 16S ribosomal RNA
Rfam family: Bacterial small subunit ribosomal RNA
Source: RNAcentral
UACGGGGGGGGCAAGCGUUGUUCGGAAUUACUGGGCGUAAAGGGCUCGUAGGUGGCCAACUAAGUCAGACGUGAAAUCCCUCGGCUUAACCGGGGAACUGCGUCUGAUACUGGAUGGCUUGAGAUUGGGAGAGGGAUGCGGAAUUCCAGGUGUAGCGGUGAAAUGCGUAGAUAUCUGGAGGAACACCGGUGGCGAAGGCGGCGUCCUGGACCAACACUGACACUGAGGAGCGAAAGCCAGGGGAGCAAACGGG